This is a small nucleolar RNA of Bufo bufo (common toad), 136 nucleotides long. RefSeq annotates it as small nucleolar RNA SNORA42/SNORA80 family. Lineage: Eukaryota; Metazoa; Chordata; Amphibia; Anura; Bufonidae. The record is from RefSeq and is a predicted model, not a curated record. The transcript has a single exon.
GCAUGGCAAUGGAUUUAUGGUGGGAUGUGAUCAGUGAUCCCCUCAUAGUGUACCCCAUGCUAGAGAGACCUACUGCUCCGAACCAUUGGUGGGCGCUGCCACUGUGUGCCCAACCACUGAAGUGAGCCGUACAGAU